Molecule: ribosomal RNA, 463 nt
Filed under: uncultured bacterium
Lineage: Bacteria
Description: bacterial SSU rRNA
Rfam family: Bacterial small subunit ribosomal RNA
Source: RNAcentral
ACAGUCACACGUAGUUGAUCAGUGGCUACAGAACGACGCUGGCGGCAGGCCUAACACAUGCAAGUCGAGCGAACCCUUCGGGGUUAGCGGCGGACGGGUUAGUAACGCGUGGGAAUAUACCCUUUGGUACGGAAUAGCCUCGGGAAACUGAGAGUAAUACCGUAUGUGCCCUUCGGGGGAAAGAUUUAUCGCCAAAGGAUUAGCCCGCGUUGGAUUAGAUAGUUGGUGGGGUAAUGGCCUACCAAGUCUACGAUCCAUAGCUGGUUUGAGAGGAUGAUCAGCAACACUGGGACUGAGACACGGCCCAGACUCCUACGGGAGGCAGCAGUGGGGAAUCUUAGACAAUGGGCGCAAGCCUGAUCUAGCCAUGCCGCGUGGACGAUGAAGGCCUUAGGGUUGUAAAGUCCUUUCAGAUGGGAAGAUAAUGACGGUACCAUCAGAAGAAGCCCCGGCUAACUCCGUG